This 300-nucleotide ribosomal RNA is filed under the name uncultured Alcanivoracaceae bacterium. Its description in RNAcentral is "bacterial SSU rRNA". It matches the Rfam family "Bacterial small subunit ribosomal RNA", at positions 114 to 412 of the family's 1533-position model. The record is from RNAcentral. Lineage: Bacteria; Pseudomonadati; Pseudomonadota; Gammaproteobacteria; Oceanospirillales; Alcanivoracaceae.
UGCGUAGAAAUUUGCCUUGAAGUGGGGGAGUAGCCCGGACGAAAUACCGGAUUAAUACCGCAUGCGCUCUACGGAGCAAAGCGGGCCUCUUCUUGAAAGCUCGCGCUUUGAGAUAAGUCUACGUCGGAUUAGCUUGUUGGUAGGGUAAUGGCCUACCAAGGCGACGAUCCGUAGCUGGUUUGAGAGGAUGAUCAGCCACACUGGGACUGAGACACGGCCCAGACUCCUACGGGAGGCAGCAGUGGGGAAUAUUGGACAAUGGGCGCAAGCCUGAUCCAGCAAUGCCGCGUGUGUGAAGAA